RNAcentral lists this ribosomal RNA (468 nucleotides) under uncultured bacterium. Its description in RNAcentral is "partial 16S ribosomal RNA". It matches the Rfam family "Bacterial small subunit ribosomal RNA", at positions 28 to 507 of the family's 1533-position model. The record is from RNAcentral.
GACGAACGCUGGCGGCGUGCUUAACACAUGCAAGUCGAACGGAAAGGCCCUGCUUUUGUGGGGUGCUCGAGUGGCGAACGGGUGAGUAACACGUGAGUAACCUGCCCUUGACUUUGGGAUAACUUCAGGAAACUGGGGCUAAUACCGGAUAGGAGCCCCUGCUGCAUGGUGGGCGUUGGAAAGUCUCGGCGGUUGGGGAUGGACUCGCGGCUUAUCAGCUUGUUGGUGGGGUAGUGGCUUACCAAGGCUGUGACGGGUAGCCCGCCUGUGAGGGUGACAGGCCACAUUGGAACUGAGGUACGGCCCAGACUCCUACGGGAGGCAGCAGUGGGGAAUAUUGCGCAAUGGGCGGAAGCCUGAUGCAGCAACGCCGCGUUCGUGAUGACGGCCUUUGGGUUGUGAACCGCUUUAGCCUGUGACGAAGCGUGUGUGACGGUAAUGGGUAAAGAAGCACCGGCUAACUACGUG